AGUGAACGCUGGCGGUAGGCCUAAUACAUGCAAGUCGAACGGCAGCACAGUAAGAGCUUGCUCUUACGGGUGGCGAGUGGCGGACGGGUGAGGAAUACAUCGGAAUCUACUUUUUCGUGGGGGAUAACGUAGGGAAACUUACGCUAAUACCGCAUACGACCUACGGGUGAAAGCAGGGGAUCUUCGGACCUUGCGCGAUUGAAUGAGCCGAUGUCGGAUUAGCUAGUUGGCGGGGUAAAGGCCCACCAAGGCGACGAUCCGUAGCUGGUCUGAGAGGAUGAUCGGCCACACUGGAACUGAGACACGGUCCAGACUCCUACGGGAGGCAGCAGUGGGGAAUAUUGGACAAUGGGCGCAAGCCUGAUCCAGCCAUACCGCGUGGGUGAAGAAGGCCUUCGGGUUGUAAAGCCCUUUUGUUGGGAAAGAAAAGCAGCAGGUUAAUACCCCGCUGUUCUGACGGUACCCAAAGAAUAAGCACCGGCUAACUUCGUG
Molecule: ribosomal RNA, 492 nt
Filed under: uncultured bacterium
Lineage: Bacteria
Description: partial 16S ribosomal RNA
Rfam family: Bacterial small subunit ribosomal RNA
Source: RNAcentral